This 469-nucleotide ribosomal RNA is filed under the name Bacillus subtilis. RNAcentral's name for it is "bacterial SSU rRNA". It matches the Rfam family "Bacterial small subunit ribosomal RNA", at positions 56 to 507 of the family's 1533-position model. The record is from RNAcentral. Lineage: Bacteria; Bacillati; Bacillota; Bacilli; Caryophanales; Bacillaceae.
UGCAAGUCGAGCGGACAGAUGGGAGCUUGCUCCCUGAUGUUAGCGGCGGACGGGUGAGUAACACGUGGGUAACCUGCCUGUAAGACUGGGAUAACUCCGGGAAACCGGGGCUAAUACCGGAUGGUUGUUUGAACCGCAUGGUUCAAACAUAAAAGGUGGCUUCGGCUACCACUUACAGAUGGACCCGCGGCGCAUUAGCUAGUUGGUGAGGUAACGGCUCACCAAGGCAACGAUGCGUAGCCGACCUGAGAGGGUGAUCGGCCACACUGGGACUGAGACACGGCCCAGACUCCUACGGGAGGCAGCAGUAGGGAAUCUUCCGCAAUGGACGAAAGUCUGACGGAGCAACGCCGCGUGAGUGAUGAAGGUUUUCGGAUCGUAAAGCUCUGUUGUUAGGGAAGAACAAGUACCGUUCGAAUAGGGCGGUACCUUGACGGUACCUAACCAGAAAGCCACGGCUAACUACGUG